CAGAGAACCUCAGACCGACCCUAACGUCCCUGCUGUGAGGCCCGCGGGCUAUGGAAUCACGCACGUCACCUGGCCCCAGCAGGGCGGCCAGCUGAGGGGUUCUUUUUAUUUUAUUUUCUUUUAUUUUUUGAAGUUAAGGCUGAAUCUGGGCUUCAGUGCUUUUGCCAACGUCUCCACUGACAGGAACCAGCAAACUUCAGGACUCAAAUGAGCGUCUUAAUUUAUUGAUGCAAAACAGGUCUGCUUGUCGCCCCCAAUUCUCGGCGCGCUCGGUCCCCCACGCCCCCAGCUUCGGUCCCUCCAUUCGAUCUCAGGAAAGCGUCAAAAAUUCCCAAAGCACCCUCCUCCCCACAAAGAUUGAUCACUUCAGAGAGAAACAUGUUUAUUUUGUACUUGCUAAACAAAUUCACAACUGGAGUCAUUGGGUUGAUUUCUUGGCCAGGUUGCCCCAUUACCUAGCAGGUCAAAAGUGGAACAUUGAGACAAUUGACAAAUAAUUAAGACAUGGUACUUAAGGAGAAUCAGAGAAGACUCUCCGGAUGAAUUCUGAGCAUCUUCACGUGGAUUUUCAUGGGGACUCCGUCUGCUGUACUCACCAGGGCUCAGCAUGGUGUCUGGCACAGAGAAGGUGCUCAACCGAUAUUAAAUGAAUAAAGAGAAAGAACGGAUUAAGGAGAUGCUUAUA
Callorhinus ursinus (northern fur seal) is the source of this 685-nucleotide non-coding RNA. The record is from RefSeq and is a predicted model, not a curated record. Lineage: Eukaryota; Metazoa; Chordata; Mammalia; Carnivora; Otariidae.